GAGACAGCAGCCGCCACGGGAAUACAGAGGGUGCGAGCGUUAAUCGGAUUUACUGGGCGUAAAGCGUGCGUAGGCGGCUUCUUAAGUCGGAUGUGAAAUCCCUGAGCUUAACUUAGGAAUUGCAUUCGAUACUGGGAAGCUAGAGUAUGGGAGAGGAUGGUAGAAUUCCAGGUGUAGCGGUGAAAUGCGUAGAGAUCUGGAGGAAUACCGAUGGCGAAGGCAGCCAUCUGGCCUAAUACUGACGCUGAGGUGCGAAAGCGUGGGGAGCAAACAGGAUUAGAUACCCCGGUAGUCCCUGUCUCUUAUAC
This 308-nucleotide ribosomal RNA is filed under the name uncultured bacterium. RNAcentral's name for it is "partial 16S ribosomal RNA". It matches the Rfam family "Bacterial small subunit ribosomal RNA", at positions 505 to 807 of the family's 1533-position model. The record is from RNAcentral.